AACAGGUUAUGGGACAUAGGCCUUUCAUAACAAGAGUGCUCACACCGAAAUGUAUUGCCUGUGUUAGUGACCAUUGAUUUCAAGUUGAUAGUCCUAAAAAUAACGUUCUACUACAAGUAUCCCAUAAACAGAACAUGAUCAAGGGAAAUGAGACCCCGAUCAGAUGAAUCAAGCCAGAAAUACAUGAACACCUAAAAAUCUUUCCAUACAC
RNAcentral lists this long non-coding RNA (211 nucleotides) under Mytilus galloprovincialis (Mediterranean mussel). The record is from RNAcentral. Lineage: Eukaryota; Metazoa; Mollusca; Bivalvia; Mytilida; Mytilidae.